UGCUUACACUGGCUCUUGGGAACAGUGCUGGAAUCCACAUGGGUGGGUAGAUCUAUCUUUGGUGUCCUGAUUUCAAUGACUUUGAGUGUAUUCCUAGUAGUAGAAUUGCUGGUUGAAGUGAUAGUUCGAGUCUUUUAAGGUUUGGAGGAACCUCCAAGUGGUUUCUGUAUCGUGUGUGCUAGUUUACCUUCUCACGAACUGUGGAGAAGAGUGUCUCUCUCUCUGGAAACACACCAGCAUUUCCCUUUCUUUCAAUGUUUUUUGUCUUUUUUUGUAACACUCAUUCCAAUUAGAAUGAGAUGGUGUCUAAGUGUUGUUUUGAUUUACAUUUUGCUUGUGGUUAGUGAUAUUUGCCAGGUUAUUGUGAACUUGUUUCAAUUUGUUGUGUAAGACUGGGCAAAGGACCUGAAGACCUGAGAUGGAUGCACAGGUUAAAGAUUCUGAAUCAACAUUACUGAUCCUCACGAGAAGUCAAUCAAAACCACACUGAGAUAGCAUCUGUCUCUGGACUUCCCAACCCACAGCCUCUCUUCACCACUGUGGAACUUUCUACUUCUAGGGGAUAAAGUCGUUUAGAGAGGAAGUUGAUCUCAUUCUCACAUGCAUGAAAUCAUGCCGUGUUUGGCUUUCUCUGCCUGACUCAUUUCGUUGAGGGUCAUGUCCUCCAGGGUUCUGCACGUUGCUGCAGAUGACAUGGUUUCAUGAAUUUCUGUGGCCGAAGAGGAUUCCAUUGUGUACUGCAGUUUCUUUAUCCCUUCAUCUGUGCACGAACAGGUGCAGCCGUGUUGUGGGAAAUGAAAAAUGCCCUGAAUUUUGAUGGCUGAAAAGUAUUCCAUUGUGCCUGUGUCCUGGAAAUUCUUCAUCCCUUCAUCUGUGGAUGGACAGGACUGGGUGGAGGACCUGAAGACACGCGAUUUAUGCACAGGUCAAAGAGAAGAUUCCCACCAUUGCUGAUGCACACAAAAGCGUUUCUCCAAGUGGUUGCAGAUGACAUGAUUUCCUGAAGUGUUACAGCUGAAGUGUGUUUCCUUGUGUAUAUAUACUGUGGUUCCUUUAUCCCUUCAUCUGUGGAUAGACAGGUGCAACCGUGUGGUUCCCCACGAUAUGAUGUCAUUGUGGUUUUCUGUCUGAAGAGUAUCCCAGGGUGUACAUGUGGAGCAGCUUCUUUCUCCCUUUUUCUGUGGAUAAGCAGGACCUGCUGAAGCACACACCUGUGGACCACCCAGACCGCCUGCCACUACAGGAUGCCCUCCGCAUCUCCCAGGACUUCUUUCUGGCAUCAGCGAGGACAUUGACCCCUCUGGACUGCAGUCAUAAUGGACUCCCAAUGGGGAGGAUUGCUUUGGGAAGAGCUACUGUCCUGUGGAAGGUGCCUGACCCAGCCUUCUGCCUCUGCAUUUUAAUCCCUGACCCAAAAUAUGAUGCAGCUGAUCCCAAACAGAGGCCCCUUGAAGGAUCAGCAUGUCCAGUCUGUGUCACUCCUCCCCCAACACCUUCACAGCGUGGGCUGCCUCAAGGUGAGGUGUCCGGUGCUCCAGCGACCGCCCUGAAUAACUAGUGGCUGCUUGACUCCCAACUGCCUCAGAGCUCAGGACAAGUGGAGGAGAACUGGUUUCUUUCUUAAAGCCAGAUAUGGCUGCAAGCCAGCCGCAACCUUACGACAGCAUCACAAAAAAUUAGUUUCACCAAAACUGAUAAACUCUUAUGAACAGGAGGCUGGCUGGGUUGCUGCUCGGAUGGUUUGGUGAGUGAAGCCCACAACCUCCCAGGGUCUCAUGGACUGAAGAGCUGAGCAGCUGUCUGAGCAGCCUGGGCUCAGGCCUGACUGAGAAAGGACAGUGGCUGCUCCAGCACAGAGGGUGCACCUUCGUGCUCACAUCAUUUCUCACCGAGAAUUAGUCUCUACAAGCUCCUCCUCCCACCACCAGACCUCUGAAAAGACAGGGGCAGAGUACAACUCCUCUUAGAGGGUCUGUCCAUUGCCACAGCCUUCAUACCCCCAGCCCAGGAUCCUUCCCGAGGACCACGCAGGGCCUCCUUCCCUCUGUCACCAAAUGUGCAUUCCACUAACCCGAUGGCACUGUUCUUUCUCACCACUCUCCCCAGCUGCACCCAAACAGCCAGUGGUCAUGUCCUCAUCAACCCCAUGCAAAUCCCACUGUGAGAUUUCAGUUGCUGUUUGUCCCGAGCAUCUCUGAAUCGAGACUGCUGAAGAUUGAUAUCAGAUUUUGACAGAUACGCUCAGGAGUCUUUGGUCUGAGGUGCCCCUCCCUGCUGUAUCCGCUGCUGUGGUGGUGUCGAUAUUCUCCUAAUCUGACGAAGGCAGCCUGGAUGUGUCUCCACAUCUCGUCUCUGGAAGAGUAUGCAGGAGACUGGCCUUCUUUCUCCCGUAAACAUUUGUUAGGAAUCAGAGGAACCAAACUGUGCUGGCCUCUGAAGUUGGCGUUGUGGCCAUUUUUUUUCUGUUGAUACGUUUUGUUUUAAGGAUGGUGCAGUGCUCAGAUAUUAAGUGUACAGUCUUACAGUUCCUUAUAAACAUGUUUAAACACACAGAACGUCACCAGCACCCUGGCGGCCUGCCGUGGCUGGGGAUGGGAAUCACACCGAGCAACUAAACCAGUUACUCCAUGUAUGUUCUGAGCACAAGACUACAUGUCAUUAGCACAGAAUGAGCAGGGCAGCACCCUCAGAAGCAGGUGGCAGAGCAGGAGAGCUGGAAGAAGCCAACAGAGGAGCUGUGGGAUUCAGCAGGGGAGUCUGAGGGCAGGCCAGGAGCUGAGAGAAACUCUGGGAGCAUUGGGCUUCCCCAGAGAGAAACGGGAGCACUUCACAAAGUGCAGUGCCCAGAACAGCUCACCAAGGCCUGCCUUUGUUUAACCAGCUGUUCAGAUUUAUAUAUUUAUCUUUUUUUUCAUAGAAUCUAUUGAAAACUAGCAAUAGAUUUUGUUUAACGUAAAAAUGUUCAACAUUAAAUGUAGAAUAUAAUUCUAAACCUAAUCCCAAAUCGAUAAUAUUCAAAAACUAACUGCCCUUCAAUGAGGUGAAGCAGGCUCCUGUCUGACUCAGUCUCCCCAGAACGAAUCACACUCCAGAUCCUCUCUGGGCCUAGGUGAGAUCUGCACGUCACGGCCUUCCUGGGUGUUGGGACAGGGAUCUGCAACACAGACACAUGUCACUGGAGAGGCCAGAGAGGGAGGGAGGAGGGCCUUGCUUGGCUGGGUGUGCAGGACCCAGACGGUUCCUCAGGGCCUUAAAGUGACCUGGUGCUGAUGUCCCUGGGUCAGAUCCACAGGGCACUGAGUCUGGUUGCUGCUCUCAGGACCUCUGCUGAGGGUGUUGUGUGACCACAGAGAGUGCCUGUAAAUGUCCUGCAAGGAGCAAAAUAAACUAGAACUUCACAUGGGCACCCCUCCAGAGAUACUGAAUAGCCCUGGAUACUGAAACCGAGGAAUGGGGAGGGCUCCAGGGCUCCAGGAUGAACAGGCAGAGUCCCCUGCACCUGGGCCCUCAGAGAACAGGAGGUCUGAUGACACAGGAGUGGGAGAGGUGACCCUGUCCCUCCACCAGGACCCUCAGCAGGAUAGGGUCAGGAACCGGCACAUCCCAUGGACAGCAUCCUGGAGCUCUUUGUUGUUUUCCCUAAUGAUCAUUUUUUCUUUCUAAUCACCCAACCAAACUUGCCUGUACUUUUUAACAGGGAAAUCACUGGGCGGUGGGAGGACAGUUCAGGGCACCUUCACUGGCUUGCAUGGGUGCUCAAGGCACCUGUGUGGCCACCCACAAGCUGCCGCUCCGUGUUCUCCUGGGAUGUGUUGGUUUUUCUGAUGUGUCCGUAAGAAAGUGAGGGAAGGAACAGGGCCGCACGCACUUGCUUGCUUCCCUUCAUCGUGCUGCCCGCUCCACACUCCCAUUUCAUCUCUCUCUUCUCCAUCUAUUAUGUCCUUCAUGUCUUGACCUGGAUGGAGAGUAAGAGAAUUUCUUGACUUCUGAAAGAAAGAGAAGAAUCAUACAUGUCCAGAGUGCCCCAGUGCAGGAAAAACCCUGUGAUGGGGGUUCCCAGAGCAGACCCAGAUUUCCCAGGAGUCCCUCCACCAUGGUGAGCCCAGCCCUUCAUACCUCCAGCCCAGCCCCCUGCCUGGAACACUCAGGGCUGCUCAGCAGGAUUCAAUGCUGCAGCUUGGGGUCAGAAACCAGGGCAGGGCCAAGACAGUGGGCGGAGGGCUGGGAGAGAUUUCAUAGACAGUGAAGACCCAAGGACAUCAGCUGCCUGGGUGAGACGACCAGGCCCUUCAUGAUGAUGAUCCUAAAAGAGGAAAGAGGGAAUGGGGCACAGCAACCAAGAGGAAUGUAUGCAGAGGAAAGAGAAUAUCAAGGAGACACUAGUAGGAAAGAAAAUGACAUGCAGAUCGCUGUUCUCUGUAUCUGUAACUUCAUCUUCUAUAUCAUAUGCCUUGGCAGGUAUAAAAGCUGUGAUAAUAUAACGGGGUGGCCUUGGGGAAAGAAAGGGUAGGGUCAGAAUUGAGGCGGCACCUUGGGCCCUGAUGCUCCUGGCAAUUUAAAGCCCAGCUUCUGAACUCAAUUCUCCCUCAUCUCUACGGUCGUAUCUCAGGACCUCAUCACUUCACCUCUGAAGUUCAGGACAAGGAUCCUAAGAGAGGGAAAGAGGGAAUAGGGGAGAGCUGCAAAGAUAUCAUGAAUAAGAAAGAGAGAAGUUAGAAAAUGAGGAAGAAAGAGGAGGAAAAAGACAUGAAAGAGAAAUGACACGCAGAUUGUUGCUUUCAUGGUCAGAGACUUCAGUGUGCAAAGUAAUUUUCUGAGCAUCCAUUUGCAGAAAUGGGGUGGCGCUGGGAAAGGAAAGGGGAGAGUGAUCAUGGAGGUGCGACCUGGAGGACUCGGUACUCUUUGCAGGAAACAACCUGACCUUAGAUUCUGUUCUGUUCGCAUCUCAACGCUUCUCAUCUGUCCUCAUCUCAAUGCUCCUCUUCCAGGACCUCCACAGCUUCACGUCUGUGAUGAGGGAGGAGGACUAGGAUCUCGGGGACUUUUCCAGUCCUCCAAGGAUUUAACUGUGAUGAGGCAGGAAUCAUGCCUUGGACCCUGAACCAACAGCUCUGUUUGGGUUGCUGUGAUUCAUGUUAAUGACUUUUCUCUUCCCCCUCACCGAAGCAGCUCAGAGCAUUCUGCCUCAAUGGCCCAUAUCCUUCAGUGUUUGGAAAAGCGCAUAGAAAGCAAAUCUGUGGCCAUAUUUUUAAAGGAUGUCUCAGAUUCCUUCUGGCUUCUCUUCUCCUUGACACAGACAGAAGAGGGGUCCUUUGGUGCUGAAAUAUAAGCCACAGGCCCACUCAGACAUCUGGAGAGGCUCUAGUUGGUGUUCAUUCAUUCAACAUACACAUACAAAACACCUCAUUUGUGCAUCGUUCUUCCUGUGGCUUGGCAUAAUUUAUUAAACAAAGCCGAUGACAAUCCUUGGACCUCAAGUCUACUCAGAGUCAGGCGCUCACAGUAGACAGAAUAAACAGACCAUAUCUACAGAAUGUUAGAGGGGAAACCCUCUUGGCCUCCUCUACGUAUGGUGACGUCCUCCCAGAUUCUGACUAGAAUGACAGAGCCCAGCAACAAGUAUAAACCAGGUGAAUUUAGGGUUCUAAAGGGCCUUUUCACCCACAAAACAUGGGGGAAAAGAUGUGGACUCUGGCUGGGGAAAGACUCAAGGAGCCCUGGGGCUCAUACUUCUUAUACUCCCAUGAGAAGUCUGACAUUCUAGGACUUCUCCUGCAAGAGGCAAAUAGUCAAUGAGUUCUGUAAAUGGAGAUUUAGGUCCCCUGCAACAGGGACAGUUUAUUUCAAGAGAGGAGACAUGAGUUGAAUGCUGGUAUGUUUUAACUCUGCAGAAAAAAUAGUUGCAACAAGUGUGGUGAACUAAUCACCCAACGGCCUUUUGCUGCCUUGUCAUUGUGCCUUAAGUAUAAGUGAAUCUACUGAAUGCCACUGCAUGCACACUUUGACUAAAAGGUUCAAAUGAUAAAUAUUGUGUUAAGUAUAUUUUUCCACAAUAGAAAACACACACAGCCAAGCCCAGAUGCCAGUCGUGCUAGCAGCCUUCCUUUACCUUCAAGAGUGGGCCAAGGCUCAUCUGAUCGCUCAAGGUAUCUCGGAAGCUUACCAUCAAAGUAGUCUCCAUUGGAAGAGAAAUUAAUGGAGAGAGGAGAAAACUUCAGAAUCCACACUACUCACUUCACAGGGUCAACAACUCUGUCUCCUGUGCACUGCUGAUCCAUCUCAGUAUUUCCUGUGACCACCUCCUUUUUCAACUGAAGACUCUGCACCUGAAGGGGUUCCCAGGUUUUUCACCUUGGCCCUUGUCAGGACUGAUCCUCUCGGCUACUGUCCAUUUCACCUCCAUUCAUGUCCAUGCCACAUCAGGCUGUGUUGUCCAGAUGGAAUGAAUCCACCCCAAAUGUCCCUUUCUGGAGGAAGCCACCAUGAUGCUGUACCUCCAACACGUCCACACACACCGAAGCACCUCGCUCACGCAAGGUGUGUGUCCUCCAACCAAGUUUCACGCUGUAAACCCAGGUAACUUUUGAAACCCAAGUCUUGUUGAUUCCCCUACUUCAGGUGCUCCAUAGAUGCUCGUUUGUCUGCAGAACCCUGCCCCAGGCAAUUAAAUUGUCCAACAUGACCAGCAGAAUUUUUCUGUUAGUUCUGACCUUGUGUUGGGAGUACAAGUGUUUCUCCCCCUUCAAAUUUCUGUCUUUGUUACUGAUAAAAGUAUGUAACUGAUAAUGCUUUUUUUCAGCUAUGUUGCCAAGCACAUUUAUAUAAAAAUAUACUCUUAGAUUGUUUUGAGAAUUUGAUAAAGAUGAUAGCAACAAUGAUAAUCUUAUUUGUUACAAUAAGAUUGUAUGUAAUGAUAAUCUUUACGUGUUACUUUCAUCAUUUCUUACAUGUUGGGGCCUACCAUACAUUGUACAGCAUUAGUGCUAUGCAUCAUGGUAGGAAUAUAAGUUGGCAAAGGAAAUUUAGAAAAUAGUUCUCUUACUUCUUAAAAAAAAUUUGGUUGGGCAUGGUGGUUCACAGCUAUCAU
Cercocebus atys (sooty mangabey) is the source of this 7087-nucleotide long non-coding RNA. RefSeq lists it as uncharacterized. NCBI's taxonomy places the organism in Eukaryota, Metazoa, Chordata, Mammalia, Primates, Cercopithecidae. The record is from RefSeq and is a predicted model, not a curated record. The transcript is spliced from 8 exons.